RNAcentral lists this ribosomal RNA (292 nucleotides) under uncultured bacterium. RNAcentral describes it as "partial 16S ribosomal RNA". It matches the Rfam family "Bacterial small subunit ribosomal RNA", at positions 505 to 796 of the family's 1533-position model. The record is from RNAcentral.
GUGCCAGCAGCCGCGGUAACACGGGGGGAGCAAGCGUUGUUCGGAAUCACUGGGCGUAAAGGGCGUGUAGGCGGUUCGGCAAGUGAGAUGUGAAAUCCCUCGGCUCACCCGAGGACCUGCAUCUCAAACUGCCGGACUAGAGUAUGGGAGAGGAUGAGGGAAUUCCUGGUGUAGCGGUGAAAUGCGUAGAUAUCAGGAGGAACACCGGUGGCGAAAGCGCUCAUCUGGCCCAAUACUGACGCUGAGGCGCGAAAGCUAGGGGAGCAAACGGGAUUAGAAACCCCAGUAGUCC